UACGGAGGGUGCGAGCGUUGUCCGGAAUCACUGGGCGUAAAGGGCGCGUAGGCGGCCUGAUAAGUAGGGGGUGAAAUCCUGCGGCUUAACCGCAGGGCUGCCUUCUAAACUGUCGGGCUGGAGCACGGUAGAGGCAGAUGGAAUUCCCGGUGUAGCGGUGGAAUGCGUAGAGAUCGGGAAGAACAUCAGUGGCGAAGGCGGUCUGCUGGGCCGUUGCUGACGCUGAGGCGCGACAGCGUGGGGAGCAAACAGG
This 253-nucleotide ribosomal RNA is filed under the name uncultured bacterium. RNAcentral's name for it is "partial 16S ribosomal RNA". It matches the Rfam family "Bacterial small subunit ribosomal RNA", at positions 524 to 776 of the family's 1533-position model. The record is from RNAcentral.